This 484-nucleotide ribosomal RNA is filed under the name uncultured bacterium. RNAcentral's name for it is "partial 16S ribosomal RNA". It matches the Rfam family "Bacterial small subunit ribosomal RNA", at positions 29 to 507 of the family's 1533-position model. The record is from RNAcentral.
AUUGAACGCUGGCGGCAUGCUUUACACAUGCAAGUCGAACGGCAGCGCGGGCUUCGGCCUGGCGGCGAGUGGCGAACGGUUGAGUAAUACAUCGGAACUUGCCCUGUAGUGGGGGAUAGCUCGGCGAUAGCCGGAUUAAUACCGCAUACGACCUGAGGGUGAAAUCGGGGGAUCUUCGGACCUCGCGCUAUUUUAGCGGCCUAUGGCAGAUUCGCUAGUUGGUGGGGUAAAUGCCUAACAAGGCGACGAUCUGUAGCUGGUCUGAGAGGACGACCAGCCACAUUGGGACAGAGACACAGCAGAGACACCGGCAGGAAGCAGCAGUGGGGAAUUUUGGAGAAUGGGGGAGAGCGUGAUACAGGAAUGUCGGGUAAGGGAUGAAGGAGUAAUGGUUGGAAAGCAAUUAAGGCGGGAAGGAAAAGGAGUGUGCUUACACCGCAUGUUGAUGACAGUACCGGCAGAAUAAGCUCCGGCUAACUCCGUG